CUGCGGAGGAUCAUUACCGUGGGGAUUCGUCCCCAUUGAGAUAGCACCCUUUGUUUAUGAGCACCAUUUGUUUCCUCGGCGGGCCUGCCCGCCGCUAGGACCCCCAAUAAACCUUUUGCAAUAGCAGUAUACUCAGUUAAAAAUACAAAUAUUAAAACUUUCAACAACGGAUCUCUUGGUUCUGGCAUCGAUGAAGAACGCAGCGAAAUGCGAUAAGUAGUGUGAAUUGCAGAAUUCAGUGAAUCAUCGAAUCUUUGAACGCACAUUGCGCCCUUCGGUAUUCCGUUGGGCAUGCCUGUUCGAGCGUCAUUUAACCCUUCAAGCUCUGCUUGGUGUUGGGCGUUUGUUCCGCCUCUGCGCGUGGACUCGCCUCAAAUUCAUUGGCAGCCGGUAAGUUGGCUUCGUGCGCAGCACAUUGCGUUACGGUUCCAGCCUGCCUCCUUCCACAAAAGCUUCUUCUAUUACUUUGACCCCGGAUCAGGUAGGGAUACCCGCUGAACUUAA
Molecule: ribosomal RNA, 504 nt
Filed under: uncultured Pleosporales
Lineage: Eukaryota; Fungi; Ascomycota; Dothideomycetes; Pleosporales
Description: eukaryotic LSU rRNA
Rfam family: 5.8S ribosomal RNA (bases 156-309)
Source: RNAcentral